Molecule: small nuclear RNA, 23 nt
Filed under: Arabidopsis thaliana (thale cress)
Lineage: Eukaryota; Viridiplantae; Streptophyta; Magnoliopsida; Brassicales; Brassicaceae
Description: snRNA_19284
Source: RNAcentral
AGAGCGGGUCGCCGCGUGCCGGC